This 827-nucleotide ribosomal RNA is filed under the name uncultured archaeon. Its description in RNAcentral is "bacterial SSU rRNA". It matches the Rfam family "Archaeal small subunit ribosomal RNA", at positions 27 to 861 of the family's 1478-position model. The record is from RNAcentral.
UCGCCGAAUCGGUAUGCGCUAGGCUGCGAGUCGAGAGGUGUAAGACCUCGGCAGACGGCUGAGUAACACGCGGAUAAUCUGCCCUGGAGUGGGGGAUAAUCUCGGGAAACUGAGGAUAAUACCCCAUAGAUGUGGUGUGCUGGAAUGCUUCCACGUUCAAAGCUCCGGCGCUCCAGGAUGAGUCUGCGGCCUAUCAGGCUGUAGUGGGUGUAACGGACCCACUAACCGACGACGGGUAGGGGCGUUGAGAGACGGAGCCCCCAGAUGGAUUCUGAGACACGAAUCCAGGCCCUACGGGGCGCAGCAGCUACGAAAACUGUGCAAUGUGGGAAACCACGACACGGGCAUACCGAGUGCCAAGGCUUUGCUUUGGCUGUUCUUUCGCCUAAAAAGCGAGAGAAGUAAGGGCCGGGUAAGACGGGUGCCAGCCGCCGCGGUAAUACCCGCGGCCCGAGUGGUGCUCAUUAUUAUUGAGCUUAAAGCGUCCGUAGCCGGCCUCGUAAAUCUUUGGGUAAAUCGGGCAGCUUAACUGUUCGAAUUCCGAGGAGACUGCGAGGCUCGGGACCGGGAGAGGUUCGAGGUACUCCGGGGGUAGGGGUAAAAUCCUGUAAUCCUCAGAGGACCACCAGUGGCGAAGGCGUCGAACUAGAACGGAUCCGACGGUGAGGGACGAAGCCCUGGGGCGCAAACGGGAUUAGAUACCCCGGUAGUCCAGGGUGUAAACGCUGCGGGUUUGGUGUCGGAGGUCCUACGCGGGCGUCCGGUGCCGGAGAGAAAUUGUUAAACCUGCCGCUUGGGGAGUACGGUCGCAAGACUGAAACUUAAAG